This 501-nucleotide ribosomal RNA is filed under the name uncultured bacterium. RNAcentral describes it as "partial 16S ribosomal RNA". It matches the Rfam family "Bacterial small subunit ribosomal RNA", at positions 29 to 523 of the family's 1533-position model. The record is from RNAcentral.
AUUGAACGCUGGCGGCGUGCCUAACACAUGCAAGUCGAGCGGUAACAGGCGUAGCAAUACGUGCUGACGAGCGGCGAACGGGUGAGCAAUGCUUCGGAAUCUGCCCAAUGGUGGGGAAUAACCAGUCGAAAGAUUGGCUAAUACCGCAUACGCCCUAACGGGGAAAGCGGGGGUCGCAAGACCUCGCGCCGAUGGAUGAGCCGAAGUCGGAUUAGGUAGUUGGUAGGGUAACGGCCUACCAAGGCGAGGAUCCGUAGCUGGCCUGAGAGGACGACCAGCCCAACGGGGACGAAGAAACGGCGCAGACUCCUACGGGAGGCAGCAGUGGGGAAUAUUGGAAAAUGAGGGAAACCCUGCUCCAGAGACGCGGCUUGUGUGAAGAAGGCCUGCGGGUUGUAAAGCACUUUUAGUGGGGAUGAAAAGCAAAUUGCUAAUACCAGUGUGUCUUGACCUAACCCAAAGAAAAAGCACCGGCUAACUCUGUGCCAGCAGCCGCCGUAA